GCCGCGGUAGAUCAGCCCGGGACUGAGGCGUGUGUUCGCCUCUGCGGGAGAGAUCGCUCGACUGAAGAUCGAGUUGUCGUGUGUUCAAAUCACACCCGCGGCACCA
RNAcentral lists this transfer RNA (106 nucleotides) under Candidatus Thorarchaeota archaeon. Its description in RNAcentral is "tRNA-Phe". The stretch from base 41 to 103 matches the Rfam family "tRNA". From Rfam's summary of the family: Transfer RNA (tRNA) molecules are approximately 80 nucleotides in length. Lineage: Archaea; Promethearchaeati; Candidatus Thorarchaeota. The record is from RNAcentral.